Molecule: ribosomal RNA, 463 nt
Filed under: uncultured bacterium
Lineage: Bacteria
Description: partial 16S ribosomal RNA
Rfam family: Bacterial small subunit ribosomal RNA
Source: RNAcentral
GAUGAACGCUGACAGAAUGCUUAACACAUGCAAGUCUUUGGCGAAGCUGUGCUUGCACAGCCUGGCCAAGGCGGACGGGUGAGUAACGCGUAAGGAACUUGCCCUGCAGUCAGGGAUAACAGACGGAAACGACUGAUAAGACCUGGUAAAGUCAGGCGGACUCAUGUCCAGCCUGAUGAAAGGAGAUGCUGCAGGAGAGCCUUGCGUCCUAUUAGCUUGUUGGUGGGGUAACGGCCCACCAAGGCGAUGAUAGGUAGCCGGCCUGAGAGGGUGGACGGCCACAAGGGGACUGAGAUACGGCCCUUACUCCUACGGGAGGCAGCAGUGGGGAAUAUUGGACAAUGGGGGCAACCCUGAUCCAGCAAUUCUGUGUGCACGAUGAAGGUUUUCGGAUUGUAAAGUGCUUUCAGCAGGGAAGAAAAAAAUGACGGUACCUGCAGAAGAAGCGACGGCUAAAUACGUG